AAGAGGCACUCUAUAAAAUAUUACAUUCAGUUCAAACCCAUGAUUCAGCAAUAAUAGAGGCCCAUCAGUGUUUUCAAUAGAUCUGUUUUUCUUAGUUGUUCUCACCUAUUAAACACCUUGCCCUCUCUCUCAACUCUCUUCUUUGUAUUUUCCCCUCGCAGUUCAUGAAGCGGUUCACAGCUAUGGAUCGUCAUUGCCAUUUUACCUUCCUGUUCGCUCAUUUAUCUCUGAGAAAAACAAGAUCAUGGAUGGCUGCUUCUGCAUCUUCUGUAGGUUCUGUUUUCCAUAGGUGUUGACAUGACUAAGGAACUCUAGGAGAGACUGUCUGUUAACGAUCUGCAAGCCUUGUAAAACUGGAACAUGGGGUAAAAUAAAAGUGGGCCGAAUACCGAUCCCUGCGGAAUACCACUUGGAAAUCAGAUCCAAACACGCUUGACUGACGUCUUACCCAUAUUCCCACCAUCGGGCACCUGUCUGAUUCUGGCACUGUUUUCCCCUCCACAUUUCAUGGUUAAAUUGUACUGAUCCCUGUGAGAGCUGCGCAGUAAUGGCCCAUGAAGAGAAACUGUCUGAAGUAACCAGCCAACAACUGCGGCCAGUUCACCCUGUAGGCCAUUUAUACAGACUUCAUCAAAACAUCGUUUUCCAAUGAGACAAGAACAACUUGAGCUGUAUCUGAAAAGGGGGGACAUUCAAAGGUGGAGGAGAUGGCGAGCACUUGUGAGGAUAAAGGAAUCCUCCGGUGAAUGCUCUUUAGUUCGGACAGAUAAUGAGAGAACACUCUACAUACACACACAGGACCGUGUUGAGCCACUUUAAGUUUGUGAAUUCAAUGCGAAAGACACACUGAAUACAGAAAAGGGAACCCAACUGAGAGGUGAGAAGCCAUGCUCAGCUGCUCUGUGUCCCUUAUGACCUGAAAAGACCUUUUUUAUAAUGCACAAAGAAUGUACACAAUGAGCCCUGUUAGGAAACACUUGCUGCCACAAUUCAGUUUUUCUUCCAUAUCAGGAGGUUUAUGACCCUUCUUGCCAUGCUGCUUUAUUUUACACAUUAAAACUGUGGUCUAUCUGCAUCUGCUUUCCAAAAAUAACAUUUGUUUGGCUGCAUAAUUAGCUGGCCAAAUAUUUGUGCUGACUAAUUUGUCGAAGUAUUCUCCUGAUGCGUAAUCCAUUAGCUCCCAUCAGGUGCCUUUGUCUCCAAUCCAAAUGAGCCAUUUGCAUUUCCUUUGUUAUUUAAAUCGUGCAUUUCCUCCAAACUGUGAGAAUUAACUUCCUAAUGAACUUCACACAAAAGAGAAGGGACCUCAAUUACAAACUCUCUCCUCAGGCUAACGUAAUGAUGCGAACAAGAGAGACACUUGUCAUGAUUAGGGGAGUAUCGUGAGCUGGAGAAUAGGCCACGGGAAGAGAUCAGCCGGACUGAUGCUGAUGGAUUACUCACAAGCAAGGAUUCCAACAGCCUUUGAGUAACAAGGCAUGACAUUUAAGUCUGUCUAAGCAUGAAGAGAUAGUUUUGGAAAAAUGCAACAUGACGUGGUUUUUCAGGCAAGAGAUGAGUCAAAAAAAAAAGCUUGAUUUUGACAUCAACAACAAAAUGUUUAUGGGUAGUUGACAUAAAAAUUGCAUGAUCCUUUUUUCCAACAUCAAUUUAAUUAAAACUACAUUUAAAGGUUAAAAUGAUUUAAUAAGGGAA
Sinocyclocheilus anshuiensis is the source of this 1695-nucleotide long non-coding RNA. RefSeq lists it as uncharacterized. NCBI's taxonomy places the organism in Eukaryota, Metazoa, Chordata, Actinopteri, Cypriniformes, Cyprinidae. The transcript is spliced from 4 exons. The record is from RefSeq and is a predicted model, not a curated record.